This 473-nucleotide ribosomal RNA is filed under the name uncultured Glomus. Its description in RNAcentral is "SSU rRNA". It matches the Rfam family "Eukaryotic small subunit ribosomal RNA", at positions 547 to 1025 of the family's 1831-position model. Lineage: Eukaryota; Fungi; Glomeromycota; Glomeromycetes; Glomerales; Glomeraceae. The record is from RNAcentral.
UUUGGAGGGCAAGUCUGGUGCCAGCAGCCGCGGUAAUUCCAGCUCCAAUAGCGUAUAUUAAAGUUGUUGCAGUUAAAAAGCUCGUAGUUGAAUUUCGGGAUCAAUUUAUUGGUCGUGCUAUUGUACGUACUGGUAUUAUUGAUUCCUACCUUCUGACGAACCAUGAUGUCAUUAAUUUGGUGUCAUGGGGAAUCAGGACUGUUACUUUGAAAAAAUUAGAGUGUUUAAAGCAGGCUCACGCUUGAAUACAUUAGCAUGGAAUAACGAAAUAGGACGUUUGAUUCUAUUUUGUUGGUUUCUAGGAUCGACGUAAUGAUUAAUAGGGAUAGUUGGGGGCAUUAGUAUUCAAUUGUCAGAGGUGAAAUUCUUGGAUUUAUUGAAGACUAACUACUGCGAAAGCAUUUGCCAAGGAUGUUUUCAUUAAUCAAGAACGAAAGUUAGGGGAUCGAAGACGAUCAGAUACCGUCGUAGUC